CGGAUGUGACGUGUGCCAGUGGCGUACUCCCUGCCCCCAGAUAGGUACUUGUACGCCUAGGGAAAGACGCUGCUAGGUGCUGCUGCUAAAUCCCUGUGGUUUCUGCCAGCCACAUGCGGCCAUUGCCGGCUCACGUAGGUUCGUUCGCGUGGUCUUGUUACGCCUCGCUGGAUCGUGUUCAGUCAUGCCGUCCUUGCGCGGCGUGAUUGUCGUGCGGCUGGCGUGAGCUGUCUCCACGAUGCGCUUCGAGCGUGUCGAUUUCGCCGUUCUUUAUGUUGGCGUUAACGACCUUGAAAGCAACAUGGAUCCACAAGAAAUGUGCGACAACAUCAAGGUAAGUCUACUGAAAUCACAAAAUUUGAAACAAUAAGCGCUAAUAGUUGUGUUUUCUUUUAAAUUUUAGGCCUUGAUUGUUCAACGAGACGGCCCCCGUCGUGCUGGUUUUCAAGGUGCUCCCUCGCUGCCUAGAAGAUGCUGAUGCGGAAUAGAAAAUGCAAAAACGUUGCUUGCUCAACCGCAAAUUGACGGCUACGCUGAAGCGCAUGCCGUGUCUGCGGAAUUUGAACCCCGAGGUAUGGACCCCCUUUUUCCAGCGGCAUGCCGUUACAUACCGUCAGGAACACGCUUGGCUUAUUUCUGACUCGGUAAAAAAUGUUUCACUUUUUCUCGCUUCUCGCUGCGGAAGAAAUGGGGACCGUUUGUCGUAGUUGUGUCUCCAUUACAGGGUGGCAUUACUGCGGUGAAUAAAGCAAGUGUUGCCGUACAUACUGUGCGCAUUUCACCCUUUGUUGGGCGGUCGGAAAAUAUUGGUCCCACUUUUCAGGGCUACUUCGCUAUUAUGUAGCGGUGAAGUGUAAUUUCUACCAUUGAACAUUCCUGUGUAGAUGUGUUUCUGAAUCACGUUAAGCACAUUUUUUCGUCCAUUUCUUUGUCAAACAACGCGAUAGAGCGAUUGCGCAGAUUGUUUACUUCCCUUUCUACAAUGUUUAGUUUAUUCUGUUGCCUUCCUUCAAACCACCACAGCGGCAAAUUGACUUUUUUUAUCGAAAUUCCGCGUUUUCAUAAUAGCUGAAUUUUGGUGCGGUUAGGUGUCUGAAUUUCUCGUACCCACAGCUACCAAAACAGUUGAUCAAAUUAUUAGCAUCGCGAACAAAUCGCAUUCCUACAUAUGCGAGCUGCUACAUAUGAGCCCUCAAGAAUUUUCAAGAAGCAUCUUUUUUCUAAGAACCCUUGCGAUAUUGGAAAGCCCUGAUUGAGGAUUCUCAUACAAAGCAUGCUCAGUAAGUAUAAUGAAAACAUGCACAAACAAUGUAUAAUGUACUGGGUACUCUGGCUGCUUCUAAUCACAUUACAGGUGACCACGAGUAGGUAGAAACGGGCCUUGAGGCUGUAUAGUGGGACGUAAUAUUCCCACUUUUCGCUAUUACUGAAUCGUAGUCAGCUUUGAGAUUUUACGUUAUGUAAAAAAUGCUUCAUAAAAAAAAGCACUUGUAAUGUCUCGGACACAAAGCGGCCUGUUCUCUGCUUGCGUCUAUGAAAGGGUUAAGAUGCACACACUAUUCAAAGGUCGCAUU
This 1574-nucleotide long non-coding RNA is filed under the name Dermacentor andersoni. RNAcentral describes it as "uncharacterized LOC126542263". The record is from RNAcentral. Lineage: Eukaryota; Metazoa; Arthropoda; Arachnida; Ixodida; Ixodidae.